RNAcentral lists this ribosomal RNA (265 nucleotides) under uncultured bacterium. RNAcentral's name for it is "partial 16S ribosomal RNA". It matches the Rfam family "Bacterial small subunit ribosomal RNA", at positions 793 to 1055 of the family's 1533-position model. The record is from RNAcentral.
GUCCACGCUGUAAACGAUGUCAACUAGCUGUUGGUCAUAUUAAAAUGAUUAGUGGCGAAGCAAACGCGAUAAGUUGACCGCCUGGGGAGUACGGUCGCAAGACUAAAACUCAAAGGAAUUGACGGGGGCCCCGCACAAGCGGUGGAGCAUGUGGUUUAAUUCGAUGCAACGCGAAGAACCUUACCUACCCUUGACAUACAGUGAAUUUUGCAGAGAUGCGAAAGUGCCUUCGGGAACACUGAUACAGGUGCUGCAUGGCUGUCGU